This 468-nucleotide ribosomal RNA is filed under the name uncultured bacterium. RNAcentral's name for it is "partial 16S ribosomal RNA". It matches the Rfam family "Bacterial small subunit ribosomal RNA", at positions 28 to 507 of the family's 1533-position model. The record is from RNAcentral.
GACGAACGCUGGCGGCGUGCUUAACACAUGCAAGUCGAACGGAAAGGCCCUGCUUUUGUGGGGUGCUCGAGUGGCGAACGGGUGAGUAACACGUGAGUAACCUGCCAUUGACUUUGGGAUAACUUCAGGAAACUGGGGCUAAUACCGGAUAGGAGCUCCUGCUUCAUGGUGGGGGUUGGAAAGUUUCGGCGGUUGGGGAUGGACUCGCGGCUUAUCAGCUUGUUGGUGGGGUAGUGGCUUACCAAGGCUUUGACGGGUAGCCGGCCUGAGAGGGUGACCGGCCACAUUGGGACUGAGAUACGGCCCAGACUCCUACGGGAGGCAGGAGUGGGGAAUAUUGCACAAUGGGAGGAAGCCUGAUGCAGUAACGCCGCGUGCGGGAUGACGGCCUUCGGGUUGUAAACCGCUUUCGCCUGUGACGAAGCGUGAGUGACGGUAAUGGGUAAAGAAGCACCGGCUAACUACGUG